RNAcentral lists this ribosomal RNA (38 nucleotides) under Suzukiozyma palmioleophila. RNAcentral describes it as "[Candida] palmioleophila partial 28S ribosomal RNA". Lineage: Eukaryota; Fungi; Ascomycota; Pichiomycetes; Serinales; Debaryomycetaceae. The record is from RNAcentral. RNAcentral also lists the same sequence under 1 other name.
UUUGACCUCAAAUCAGGUAGGAUUACCCGCUGAACUUA